This 67-nucleotide transfer RNA is filed under the name Thoracotermes macrothorax. Its description in RNAcentral is "tRNA-Asn". Lineage: Eukaryota; Metazoa; Arthropoda; Insecta; Blattodea; Termitidae. The record is from RNAcentral.
UUAACCGAAACCAAAGAAAGAGGUAUAUUAUUGUUAAUAAUAAAAUUGAAUUAAUAUUCCGGUUAAG